Molecule: ribosomal RNA, 2794 nt
Filed under: Marsupiomonas pelliculata
Lineage: Eukaryota; Viridiplantae; Chlorophyta; Pedinophyceae; Marsupiomonadales; Marsupiomonadaceae
Description: bacterial LSU rRNA
Rfam family: Bacterial large subunit ribosomal RNA
Source: RNAcentral
GGUCAAAUGACCGAAAGAUUACGGUGGAUACCUAGGCAUUCAGAGUCGAUGAAGGGCGCGGAAACCGGCGAAACGCUUCGGGGAGUUGGAAACAAACUUUGAUCCGGAGAUACCCGAAUAGGGCAACCUCUAGUACUUCAAUCCGAAUUCAUAAGAUUGAAAGAGUGAACCUGGUGAACUGAAACAUCUUAGUAGCCAGAGGAGUAGAAAGCAAAAGCGAUUCCCUUAGUAGCGGCGAGCGAAAUGGGAACAGCCUAAACCGGUAUUUUUAUUAAACCGGGGUUGUGGGAAGAAAAACCGAAUGGUUUAUUCAAUUUUAAACGAAGCAGCUGAAUCCUGCACCAUAGAGGGUGAAAGUCCCGUAGUUAAAAAAGCUGAAAAAUCAAUUUUCUAUCCCGAGUAGCAUGGAACACGUGAAAUUCCGUGUGAAUCUGCGAGGACCACCUCGUAAGGCUAAAUACUCCUGAAUGACCGAUAGUGAAACAGUACCGCGAGGGAAAGGUGAAAGAGAACCCCUGUCGGGGAGUGAAAUAGAACAUGAAACCGUAAUCUGACUAACAGUAGGAGCACAAGUAAAUGUGUGACUGCGUACCUGUUGAAGAAUGGGCCGGCGACUUAUAAGGAGUGGCUUGGUUAAGAAGGUUCAAUUCGGAGCCAAAGCGAAAGCGAGUCUUAAUUGGGCGUUUGUCACUUCUUAUAGACCCGAACCCGGGUGAUCUAACCAUGGCCAGGAUGAAGCUUGGGUAAAACCAAGUGGAAGACCGAACCGACUGAUGUUGAAAAAUCAGCGGAUGAGCUGUGGUUAGGGGUGAAAUGCCAAUCGAACUCGGAGCUAGCUGGUUCUCCCCGAAAUGCGUUGAGGCGCAGCGGUGAAUGAUCGAACUGUCGAGGGGUAAAGCACUGUAUCGUUGCGGGCUGCGAAAGCGGUACCAAUACGUAGCAAACUAAGAAUACUCGGCACUAGUUUUCCAUUCACCAGUGAGACAGUGGGGGAUAAGCUUCAUUGUCAAGAGGGAAACAACCCAGAUCACCAGCUAAGGCCCCUAAAUGACUGCUAAGUGGUAAAGGAGGUGAGAAUGCUGAAACAACCAGGAGGUUUGCUUAGAAGCAGCCACCCUUUAAAGAGUGCGUAAUAGCUCACUGGUAAAGCGUUCUUGCGCCGAAAAUGACCGGGACUAAGCAGUCUGCCGAAGCUGUGGGUAUCUACUUUCUGUAGAUACGGUAGGGGAGCGUUCCGUUUUAGGGUGAAGCAUCAAUGUAAAUCGGUGUGGACGAAGCGGAAGUGAGAAUGUCGGCUUGAGUAACGAAAAUAUUGGUGAGAAUCCAAUACCCCGAAAACCUAAGGGUUCCUCUACAAGGUUCGUCCGUGGAGGGUGAGUCAAAACCUAAGGCGAGUCUAGCGUGCUAGAGUAGUCGAUGGAAAACAGGUUAAUAUUCCUGUACUUCAAAGUAAUGGGCAACGAGGGACGGAGAAGGCUAAGCUGGUCUACCUUGGUUUGGUAGAUGGAAGUGUUCGAGGUUUUGAGAAAAAGAAUAAAAACUUUUUUGAGCUGAGGCACGAUACGAGCUUUGUUCAAUCUGCUUCGCAGACUUGUCAAAGUUUCAGUCUAUGUCAUGCUUCCAAGAAAAGCUCGCACUGCUUAUCAUUGCUUUGAAUUUGUACCCGAAACCGACACAGGUAGGUUAGUAGAGAAUACUAAGGGGCGCGAGAUAACUCUCUCUAAGGAACUCGGCAAAAUGACCCCGUAACUUCGGGAGAAGGGGUGCCUCCGCGAGGAGGUUGCAGUGACCAGGCCCUGGCGACUGUUUACCAAAAACACAGGUCUCCGCUAAGUCGCAAGACGAUGUAUGGGGGCCGACGCCUGCCCAGUGCCGGAAGGUGAAGGAAGUUGGUCAAUUCUUUUGAAUGAAGCUAGCGACCGAAGCCCCGGUGAACGGCGGCCGUAACUAUAACGGUCCUAAGGUAGCGAAAUUCCUUGUCGGGUAAGUUCCGACCCGCACGAAAGGCGUAACGAUCAGGGCGCUGUCUCAGAGAGAGGCUCGGUGAAAUAGACAUGUCCGUGAAGAUGCGGACUUCCUGCACCUGGACAGAAAGACCCUAUGAAGCUUGACUAUAGCUUGGAAUUGGCUUCGGGCUCUACUUGCGCAGCCUAGGUGGGAGACGUUGAACAUUUUCUUCCGGGAAAAUGGGAGUCAUCAUUGAGAGACCACUCUGGUAGAGCUAGAAUCCUAAGAGUGAUCCUUGAAUCAGGACACUUAACAGUUUCAGGUGGGUAGUUUGACUGGGGCGGUCGCCUCCUAAAAUGUAACGGAGGCGUGCAAAGGUUCCCUCAGGCUGGACGGAAAUCAGCCGGAGAGUGUAAAGGCAGAAGGGAGCUUGACUGCAAGACCUACAAGUCGAGCAGGGGCGAAAGCCGGCCUUAGUGAUCCGACGGUUCCGCGUGGAAGGGCCGUCGCUCAACGGAUAAAAGUUACUCUAGGGAUAACAGGCUGAUUUUCCCCAAGAGUUCAUAUCGACGGGAAAGUUUGGCACCUCGAUGUCGGCUCAUCGCAACCUGGGGCGGUAGCACGUCCCAAGGGUUGGGCUGUUCGCCCAUGAAAGCGGUACGUGAGCUGGGUUCAGAACGUCGUGAGACAGUUCGGUCCAUAUCCGGUGUAGGCGUUAGAGUAUUGAGAGGAGCCUUCCUUAGUACGAGAGGACCGGGAAGGACAUGCCAAUGGUGUACCAGUUCUCGUUCCAACGGGAAACGCUGGGUAGCUACGCAUGGAGUGGAUAACUGCUGAAAGCAUCUAA